Molecule: ribosomal RNA, 426 nt
Filed under: uncultured bacterium
Lineage: Bacteria
Description: bacterial SSU rRNA
Rfam family: Bacterial small subunit ribosomal RNA
Source: RNAcentral
UGAGGAAUAUUGGACAAUGGGUGAGAGCCUGAUCCAGCCAUCCCGCGUGAAGGACGACUGCCCUAUGGGUUGUAAACUUCUUUUGUAUAGGGAUAAACCUAGAUACGUGUAUCUAGCUGAAGGUACUAUACGAAUAAGCACCGGCUAACUCCGUGCCAGCAGCCGCGGUAAUACGGAGGGUGCAAGCGUUAUCCGGAUUUAUUGGGUUUAAAGGGUCCGUAGGCGGAUCUGUAAGUCAGUGGUGAAAUCUCAUAGCUCAACUAUGAAACUGCCAUUGAUACUGCAGGUCUUGAGUAAGGUAGAAGUGGCUGGAAUAAGUAGUGUAGCGGUGAAAUGCAUAGAUAUUACUUAGAACACCAAUUGCGAAGGCAGGUCACUAUGUCUUAACUGACGCUGAUGGACGAAAGCGUGGGGAGCGAACAGAUU